This 253-nucleotide ribosomal RNA is filed under the name uncultured bacterium. Its description in RNAcentral is "partial 16S ribosomal RNA". It matches the Rfam family "Bacterial small subunit ribosomal RNA", at positions 524 to 776 of the family's 1533-position model. The record is from RNAcentral.
UACGGAGGAUGCGAGCGUUAUCCGGAUUUACUGGGUGUAAAGGGAGCGUAGACGGCAUGGCAAGUCUGAUGUGAAAACCCGGGGCUCAACCCCGGGACUGCAUUGGAAACUGUCAGGCUAGAGUGUCGGAGAGGCAAGUGGAAUUCCUAGUGUAGCGGUGAAAUGCGUAGAUAUCACGCAGAACCCCGAUUGCGAAGGCAGCAUACCGGUGCACAACUGACGCUCAGGCACGAAAGCGUGGGUAUCGAACAGG